RNAcentral lists this ribosomal RNA (2923 nucleotides) under Klebsiella pneumoniae. RNAcentral's name for it is "23S ribosomal RNA". It matches the Rfam family "Bacterial large subunit ribosomal RNA". Lineage: Bacteria; Pseudomonadati; Pseudomonadota; Gammaproteobacteria; Enterobacterales; Enterobacteriaceae. RNAcentral also lists the same sequence under 1 other name. The record is from RNAcentral.
GGGUUGUGAGGUUAAGCGACUAAGCGUACACGGUGGAUGCCCUGGCAGUCAGAGGCGAUGAAGGACGUGCUAAUCUGCGAAAAGCGUCGGUAAGGUGAUAUGAACCGUUACAGCCGGCGAUGUCCGAAUGGGGAAACCCAGUGCAAUUCGUUGCACUAUCGUUAACUGAAUACAUAGGUUAACGAGGCGAACCGGGGGAACUGAAACAUCUAAGUACCCCGAGGAAAAGAAAUCAACCGAGAUUCCCCCAGUAGCGGCGAGCGAACGGGGAGCAGCCCAGAGUCUGAAUCAGCUUGUGUGUUAGUGGAACGGUCUGGAAAGUCCGACGGUACAGGGUGAUAGUCCCGUACACCAAAAUGCACAGGCUGUGAACUCGAAGAGUAGGGCGGGACACGUGGUAUCCUGUCUGAAUAUGGGGGGACCAUCCUCCAAGGCUAAAUACUCCUGACUGACCGAUAGUGAACCAGUACCGUGAGGGAAAGGCGAAAAGAACCCCGGCGAGGGGAGUGAAAAAGAACCUGAAACCGUGUACGUACAAGCAGUGGGAGCACCUUCGGGUGUGACUGCGUACCUUUUGUAUAAUGGGUCAGCGACUUAUAUUCUGUAGCAAGGUUAACCGUAUAGGGGAGCCGCAGGGAAACCGAGUCUUAACUGGGCGUUAAGUUGCAGGGUAUAGACCCGAAACCCGGUGAUCUAGCCAUGGGCAGGUUGAAGGUUGGGUAACACUAACUGGAGGACCGAACCGACUAAUGUUGAAAAAUUAGCGGAUGACUUGUGGCUGGGGGUGAAAGGCCAAUCAAACCGGGAGAUAGCUGGUUCUCCCCGAAAGCUAUUUAGGUAGCGCCUCGUGAACUCAUCUUCGGGGGUAGAGCACUGUUUCGGCUAGGGGGUCAUCCCGACUUACCAACCCGAUGCAAACUACGAAUACCGAAGAAUGUUAUCACGGGAGACACACGGCGGGUGCUAACGUCCGUCGUGAAGAGGGAAACAACCCAGACCGCCAGCUAAGGUCCCAAAGUCAUGGUUAAGUGGGAAACGAUGUGGGAAGGCACAGACAGCCAGGAUGUUGGCUUAGAAGCAGCCAUCAUUUAAAGAAAGCGUAAUAGCUCACUGGUCGAGUCGGCCUGCGCGGAAGAUGUAACGGGGCUAAACCAUGCACCGAAGCUGCGGCAGCGACACUAUGUGUUGUUGGGUAGGGGAGCGUUCUGUAAGCCUGCGAAGGUGUGCUGUGAGGCAUGCUGGAGGUAUCAGAAGUGCGAAUGCUGACAUAAGUAACGAUAAAGCGGGUGAAAAGCCCGCUCGCCGGAAGACCAAGGGUUCCUGUCCAACGUUAAUCGGGGCAGGGUGAGUCGACCCCUAAGGCGAGGCCGAAAGGCGUAGUCGAUGGGAAACAGGUUAAUAUUCCUGUACUUGGUGUUACUGCGAAGGGGGGACGGAGAAGGCUAUGUUAGCCGGGCGACGGUUGUCCCGGUUUAAGCAUGUAGGCUGGUUGUCCAGGCAAAUCCGGAUAAUCAAGGCUGAGGUGUGAUGACGAGGCACUACGGUGCUGAAGUAACAAAUGCCCUGCUUCCAGGAAAAGCCUCUAAGCAUCAGGUAACAUUAAAUCGUACCCCAAACCGACACAGGUGGUCAGGUAGAGAAUACCAAGGCGCUUGAGAGAACUCGGGUGAAGGAACUAGGCAAAAUGGUGCCGUAACUUCGGGAGAAGGCACGCUGGUGUGUAGGUGAAGUCCCUGCGGAUGGAGCUGAGACCAGUCGAAGAUACCAGCUGGCUGCAACUGUUUAUUAAAAACACAGCACUGUGCAAACACGAAAGUGGACGUAUACGGUGUGACGCCUGCCCGGUGCCGGAAGGUUAAUUGAUGGGGUUAUCCGUAAGGAGAAGCUCUUGAUCGAAGCCCCGGUAAACGGCGGCCGUAACUAUAACGGUCCUAAGGUAGCGAAAUUCCUUGUCGGGUAAGUUCCGACCUGCACGAAUGGCGUAAUGAUGGCCAGGCUGUCUCCACCCGAGACUCAGUGAAAUUGAACUCGCUGUGAAGAUGCAGUGUACCCGCGGCAAGACGGAAAGACCCCGUGAACCUUUACUAUAGCUUGACACUGAACAUUGAGCCUUGAUGUGUAGGAUAGGUGGGAGGCUUUGAAGCGUGGACGCCAGUCUGCGUGGAGCCAACCUUGAAAUACCACCCUUUAAUGUUUGAUGUUCUAACGUUGGCCCCUGACCGGGGUUGCGGACAGUGUCUGGUGGGUAGUUUGACUGGGGCGGUCUCCUCCCAAAGCGUAACGGAGGAGCACGAAGGUUAGCUAAUCCUGGUCGGACAUCAGGAGGUUAGUGCAAUGGCAUAAGCUAGCUUGACUGCGAGCGUGACGGCGCGAGCAGGUGCGAAAGCAGGUCAUAGUGAUCCGGUGGUUCUGAAUGGAAGGGCCAUCGCUCAACGGAUAAAAGGUACUCCGGGGAUAACAGGCUGAUACCGCCCAAGAGUUCAUAUCGACGGCGGUGUUUGGCACCUCGAUGUCGGCUCAUCACAUCCUGGGGCUGAAGUAGGUCCCAAGGGUAUGGCUGUUCGCCAUUUAAAGUGGUACGCGAGCUGGGUUUAGAACGUCGUGAGACAGUUCGGUCCCUAUCUGCCGUGGGCGCUGGAGAAUUGAGGGGGGCUGCUCCUAGUACGAGAGGACCGGAGUGGACGCAUCACUGGUGUUCGGGUUGUCAUGCCAAUGGCACUGCCCGGUAGCUAAAUGCGGAAGAGAUAAGUGCUGAAAGCAUCUAAGCACGAAACUUGCCCCGAGAUGAGUUCUCCCUGAGACUUUAAGUCUCCUGAAGGAACGUUGAAGACGACGACGUUGAUAGGCCGGGUGUGUAAGCGCAGCGAUGCGUUGAGCUAACCGGUACUAAUGAACCGUGAGGCUUAACCUUACAACGCCGAAG